This 98-nucleotide long non-coding RNA is filed under the name Pongo abelii (Sumatran orangutan). RNAcentral's name for it is "lincRNA". The record is from RNAcentral. Lineage: Eukaryota; Metazoa; Chordata; Mammalia; Primates; Hominidae.
CAGCAACACCUCAACAGCAACGAGCACACCUGCUACCUAGAACCUGGUUUCUAAAAACCAUCCUCCUCUAAAAGAAAACAGGGCUCUUUGAAGAAAUG